Molecule: long non-coding RNA, 1460 nt
Filed under: Bos grunniens (domestic yak)
Lineage: Eukaryota; Metazoa; Chordata; Mammalia; Artiodactyla; Bovidae
Description: lncRNA (ENSBGRG00000019308.1)
Source: RNAcentral
AGUAGAAACUACCAAGAAAGUUGACCCUCCCCACUCUGGGUUUCAGUUAUCCAGGACCCUCAGGUGUCCAUAGGUAGGUGGGGUCAAAGGGCAGCGUGGCAAGGGGACCCCUUUGGACUAGAUCGAGGCCAGAGCUGGUCACCCCUUCCCCAGGAAGCUCCGUCAGGCCAUCACUCUGAGACUGGAGAGGCCGGCAGGAGGCGCUUCUCCAGGAGGUGGGACGUGGAGACCAGGAUCGGGGCCCAGUAGCCCUGGAGCCCUCCAUACAUAGGCUGAAGGCAUGAAUGCAAGUCAGGCACUAUCCCGGGACCAAAGGCAGGAGGCCAGGCCGUCCCCGAAAAGGGGGAUCAUUAUCCUCUUCCCGUUCUAAAAGCCACGCCCUCCUUCUAGUCUGACGCCCCAGAGGAGCCUCAGGUCUGGGGCCACAGUCUAGGGUCUGAAGAUGGCGCCUGUGGCAGCCUCGAAGAUUCCACAGCCCUCAGGCUCCCAAACCAGAUCGGAACAAAGCAAAACAGACUCAACGUGACCACCAGACGCGCCCGGACCCUCCCAGCCAACCACCUCUUCUUGACUCAACACACGACUGUGCCUGUGAGGAAAGCGGGCUCUUGGGAGCCACAGGUUGAGAGACUUUGCGAACUGCACUGGGUCCAGGCUGAAGAUGCAACUUGAGGCAGCCUGGACAGGUCAACAGUCUUCACCUACACCACACAGACCAAAGGUGGAUUAAGAUUAUUUAAAACCCAGUAACCCAGGCCAGCCCACAACCCCUACCUGUGGGGACGCACCAAUUUCUCCCUGUUAAGUGGGGAGAGCGAGAGUUGGGCCGAGGAAGUGAGAUUGGGCUUCAUGAUUGGUCAGUGUCCUUUUCCUGGUGCAUCCUGGGAGUUGUAGUCCCACGCUAGGCCCCUGCAGAGAAAGUUCUGGCUGCGUGGCAGGAAGUGACUAGCACUACUGCGUGGGCAGAGGAGGACAGUGAGAAGGCAUUUUGCCGACUGUGUGCCAGGCGCUGGGCUAGGUGCUUUACAGCUCUUGUUUGCCUUUAAUUUUCACGGAAUAGGAGUGUGGUUAAGGUCAGACUCUGGACUGAAACUUCUUGGGUUUAAAUUCUACUCCAGCGCUGGUAUAGCUAUAGAUGUCCUCAGCUAUCAUAUGAAGAUAAUAAUAACUACUAUCCGUCUUCUUUUGAGAGUUAAGUGAGAUAAUGCAUCACAUUGGGCUUGGCAGAUGAUGUGCUCCAUAAAUAUUAGCUAUUAUCACUCUUAUAAAUCUGUGCAGAUGAGCUGAGAGGUAUACACUGGUCUCUUGCCAAGUAGAGAAGUCGAGAUUCAAGCCAUCUCUGCUGGGUUCCAAGAGGAAUUUCUGUCACCACUGCCUUUGAGUUGACUCAAAGAUUUUUCUUGGUGCCCUCAGGAAUUGCCUUAGACUUGAUGAACUUCAGAUUCAGAUUCUACACAAGU